GGGAUCCAGGUCCUCUGAAUCCGCAGCAUUCAGACAAUGUGCACCUCUGCAGCAGGGGCAGAUCUGGAUCAC
Branchiostoma floridae (Florida lancelet) is the source of this 72-nucleotide non-coding RNA. Lineage: Eukaryota; Metazoa; Chordata; Leptocardii; Amphioxiformes; Branchiostomatidae. The record is from Rfam.